Molecule: ribosomal RNA, 235 nt
Filed under: uncultured bacterium
Lineage: Bacteria
Description: partial 16S ribosomal RNA
Rfam family: Bacterial small subunit ribosomal RNA
Source: RNAcentral
UGGCGGACGGGUGAGUAAUGUCUGGGAAACUGCCCGAUGGAGGGGGAUAACUACUGGAAACGGUAGCUAAUACCGCAUAACGUCGCAAGACCAAAGAGGGGGACCUUAGGGCCUCUUGCCAUCGGAUGUGCCCAGAUGGGAUUAGCUAGUAGGUGGGGUAACGGCUCACCUAGGCGACGAUCCCUAGCUGGUCUGAGGGGAUGACCAGCCACACUGGAACUGAGACACGGUCCAG